RNA transcript from Macadamia integrifolia, 2617 nucleotides. It is a transcript of the gene named DUF21 domain-containing protein At2g14520-like, with no coding region annotated. NCBI's taxonomy places the organism in Eukaryota, Viridiplantae, Streptophyta, Magnoliopsida, Proteales, Proteaceae. The transcript is spliced from 14 exons. The record is from RefSeq and is a predicted model, not a curated record.
AUUUACUAGUAUUUUAGAUCAUAUCGGAUCCAUGUAGCCUGACUCUAGAAUAAGAUUAUGAUGGUUGUUGAACCAAUUGAAGCCAAGCAUUUCCUUUAAUUUUUAAUUUCUUACUACAGCGCUUACUCUCUCAAGACGCUUCAAGACUUCUGCUGGGAAGAACGUCACAACCCACAAGUGGGGACUGUAGCAGUAGCUUUGUGUGCGUGUGUGGCGGUUGGGAAUUGGAUGUUUUGAAUUUUCUGGUUCAAAUUUCUAACAACUCUCUGUCCCAUUCUUCAUCAGUCAUCAACUGUCUCUUUCCCUCUCAAAAUCCAAGAAGAAAUUGAUAGUUUUGGAUGACAAUGCUUGAAUCCCUUGUGACGUGAGAGAGACUAAUUAAAGGGAUCAAAAUGUUACCCAUUCCCAACCCACCCCGGCUUUCCCUCCCUCUCCUUCUCUUCCGGGUCGCUCUUUGGGGAGAGCUGACGUCUUCAAUUCCCGAUAAAUUCUCUUCUUCUAUCUUCUUUGUCACUGAAGUUGAAUCACUGAACUCAAACUCAAAUUCAAAGCCAUGGCUGCCAACGAUGUGCCGUGUUGCAAGCCCAUGUUCUGGGUUUACCUCUUCAUCUGUGCAGCCCUUGUCACUUUCGCUGGUCUCAUGUCUGGUCUCACUCUUGGACUCAUGUCUAUCAGCCAAGUCGACCUUGAGGUCCUCGUCAAUGCUGGUCAGCCCCAAGACCGCAAGAAUGCUGUUAAGAUUUUGCCAGUUGUGAAGAACCAACACUUACUCCUCUGCACACUCCUCAUUUGCAAUGCCUUGGCAAUGGAGGCAUUGCCCAUUUUCCUUGAUGCGAUUCUUCCAGCUUGGGGUGCCAUAUUGAUAUCUGUUACCCUUAUACUUGCAUUUGGAGAGAUCAUCCCUCAAGCUAUUUGUUCAAGAUAUGGAUUGAGUGUUGGGGCAAAACUGGUUGGGUUUGUUCGAGUGCUUAUGUUGGUCGUCUUCCCCAUAUCCUAUCCAAUCAGUAAGUUAUUGGACUGGAUCCUAGGGAAGGGGCACUUUGUGCUUUUCAGACGGGCAGAGUUGAAAUCAUUGGUCAAUUUGCAUGCACAUGAGGCAGGGAAAGGUGGAGAGUUAUCCCAUGACGAAACUACGAUUAUUGCGGGAGCCUUAGAUCUGACACAGAAGACUGCUAAAGAUGCCAUGACGGCAGUAUCCAAAACUUUUUCCCUUGAUAUAAAUUCUAAAUUUGACAUGGAUACAUUGGGUUUAAUAAUGACCAAAGGGCAUAGUCGUGUACCUAUCUACUCUGGAAGUUCAACAAAUAUCAUAGGCCUUAUUUUGGUUAAAAAUUUGAUCACCUGCCGCCCUGAAGAUGAAACCCCAGUUAGAAAUGUAACCAUAAGGAAAAUCCCUAGGGUUCCUGAAAAUAUGCCACUUUAUGAGAUACUGAAUGAAUUCCAGAAGGGUCAUAGCCAUAUGGCUGUUGUUGUAAAGGACCAGAAGGAUGCUAAGUUAACUAGGGAACAUGAAAGAGGCAAGCCUGACAUGUUAGAGAAAACCAUGGAACCAAAUAAAAAUCAGAUAGAAGUGGAGGAAAAAGGAAGUGGUUCCCAGCUAAAUCUGGACAAGCAACUGAAUCCUGCUGCACAGGCAUUCCCUUUGUUUUCUGAUGUCACCAAUGCUUGGAGCCCUACACUAAGAAGUAUCAUUGAGCAAGAAGAAAAGUCUAAGCAAUUGAGGAAAUGGGAGUAUGGAGGUGAAAGUGUUCUCAAUGUAGAUUCAGAUCUUCCUAGCUAUGCAUUGGACGAUGAAGUCAUUGGUAUCAUAACAAUGGAGGAUGUUAUUGAAGAAUUACUUCAGGAAGAAAUAUUUGAUGAAACUGAUGGGUUUGUUGAGGUACACGACAAAAUUAGAAUAAAUAUGCUACCCCCAAGAAGAUCUUCACCAAGGUCUCCCGGAACAGCUUCUCAUCUUCCAUGGAGAACUCCAGUGGCUUCUCCACUUUCUCCAUAUCAUCGUACUUCUAUACUGCAUUCACCUGUUGCUCGAUAUUUUCAGGCACCUGGUCCAUUGCCAACUCUAUCUAGCUCCCCUGGAAAAUGUUCACCGAAUUCACCAGCUAAACUUUCAAGCCUUGGACGAAAGUCACCAAUCUCUCAUGAACAGGUCUCAAGAAAACCAUAUGAGAAGCUAUGAAAGUUUGAUAAUAUAUAGGGCUCCUAUCAAUGAAAGGAUAUGCAAUGCAUAUAUUUUCUAUUAACUUUUUUAGAGAUGAAUGUGAGUUUUUAUCAGUAUCAGUGAUCCACAAUUAAUCUCAUAUUUCACAGUUCAAAAAGUAAGAACACAUGGAUCGAUGCUACCGUGCAAACAAGGGGGGAUGGAUCAGAUUAGUAGAUUACAGAUCAGAAAGCUCACAAUGGCUUCUAUUUUUCAUAAACAAGACUUGUUUCCUUCCUUUGAUAUAACACUUUUGAUGCUUUCUAUGAGUCUGGUUUUCUUGCACCUUUGCACCAACCAAUAGUUUCCUUGUCAUCAUUAGUGGAAAUAUUGUUGAAGUUUGAAUAAUCAAUGUUUUAGAAUGUAAACAAGACUUGUUUCCUUCCUUUGAUUUAACACUUUUGAUGCUUUCUAUGA